This 961-nucleotide long non-coding RNA is filed under the name Manihot esculenta (cassava). RNAcentral describes it as "long non-coding RNA (MESC_LNC004366)". The record is from RNAcentral. Lineage: Eukaryota; Viridiplantae; Streptophyta; Magnoliopsida; Malpighiales; Euphorbiaceae.
UUCCAAAAAGCGAUAUAAACCACCUCCACCUCCCUUGCCGGUUCCUCCAGGUCACGUCUCUGCCAUGCCUCCCGCAUCGGUGGUAAGAUCUAUUUCAGCAGGGGCAUCCUCACAGAUGUAAAGGUCUCGAGUUUGAGUUUAUUGGGAGCAUUUAGGUGGAUUCGGGUUUCGGAUUAUAGGUAUUCCAAAUCAAUCUCUUGGCUUUCGAUUUUCUGCUGCUUCUGCUUCUGCUUCGAGGAAGGUGAUACAGAAACAGAGAUGAAGAGACCUAUUUCUUAUUUCUUACUCAAAUGAUUUAAUUUCUGGUCCUCGAUUAAUAUUCUAUUCAUUUUGAAUUGUUAUUGUUAAAUUUGGGUUCAGAAAAAAGCUUUCCUUCAAAGAUGAAGCAUAUUUAUGUGGCUAAACAGACUGCUAGUGGAACACCAAUGGCUUCAUGAACAGAAUAUUAAAUGGAUUUCUGGUUUUAGAAGUAGAAAGCAGCAGAGACUGAAGCAUCUUUCCAGUGAAAAUUUUGUUUUUGUUUUUGUUCUAAUUUUUUUCCCAAACAAAAAUUUUGGGAAGGGGGAAGUUUGAGAUUUAGAUCUCUGAAUUGACAUGCCAGUCUUUCAGGGUAAAUUUGAUAGAGCGGGUUGAGCACGUCCAUUCUGUAUCUUGUUAUCGGGUGUAGUUUGCUGGUUGGCUCGAUUAUGUUAUUUCCAAAUAUUUGUGUGCUAGCUAGGAUUAAUAUUAUAUGACACAUGCUUGGAAUGGAACUAGUAAUUGCACUUUCUCUUUGAUUCCUUUAAUGUCGAAGUAUUUCUUCCUUUUGCUGCUUUAUAUACGUCUUGCGUUGUCGAGGCUUGUGGUUGAGGAAUUGGCUCUCUUCCAUUCCAUCUCGAGAUUUUGUGAGUCGUUUUUUCUUUUUUUUUUUUUUUCUUAAGUUUUGCCUUUUAUGCUUUCUAUAUAUCAUAUAUAUAUAUAU